AAGCAACGCGAAGAACCUUACCAAGGUCUUGACAUCCGAUGCUAUUCUAGAGAUAGAAAGUUACUUCGGUACAUCGGUGACAGGUGGUGCAUGGUUGUCGUCAGCUCGUGUCGUGAGAUGUUGGGUUAAGUCCCGCAACGAGCGCAACCCCUAUUGUUAGUUGCCAUCAUUCAGUUGGGCACUCUAGCGAGACUGCCGGUAAUAAACCGGAGGAAGUGGGGAUGACGUCAAAUCAUCAUGCCCCUUAUGACCUGGGCUACACACGUGCUACAAUGGUUGGUACAACGAGUUGCGAGUCGGUGACGGCGAGCUAAUCUCUUAAAGCCAAUCUCAGUUCGGAUUGUAGGCUGCAACUCGCCUACAUGAAGUCGGAAUCGCUAGUAAUCGCGGAUCAGCACGCCGCGGUGAAUACGUUCCCGGGCCUU
This 425-nucleotide ribosomal RNA is filed under the name uncultured Streptococcus sp. RNAcentral describes it as "bacterial SSU rRNA". It matches the Rfam family "Bacterial small subunit ribosomal RNA", at positions 954 to 1382 of the family's 1533-position model. Lineage: Bacteria; Bacillati; Bacillota; Bacilli; Lactobacillales; Streptococcaceae. The record is from RNAcentral.